RNAcentral lists this small RNA (137 nucleotides) under Pseudomonas sp. URMO17WK12:I6. RNAcentral's name for it is "Pseudomonas sRNA P11". It matches the Rfam family "Pseudomonas sRNA P11". Rfam says of the family: P11 is located between a putative threonine protein kinase and putative nitrate reductase and appears to be conserved in several Pseudomonas species. Lineage: Bacteria; Pseudomonadati; Pseudomonadota; Gammaproteobacteria; Pseudomonadales; Pseudomonadaceae. The record is from RNAcentral.
CCUUGCGAGACUUGGCACAACCACUGCAUUACCUUUCCCAACAGACAUAAAGCCCGGCCUUCAACGUAGAAGGCUGCGCUGCCCGAGAGAACGGGACAAGGACAAAGGCGUCCUCGCUAGUUAGCUAGCGGGACGCC